GGGGCACCAGGAAGCCGUUCUGGGAAGCUCCAGGUGGAUAGUCUGGGACACGAUCCCGGAAAACUGGGAGAAGCAUUCUGAGAAGAGUAGUGCCUGCUGAUGGCGGCCUGUGCGGCCAGGGCGCCCGCUGACAGUGGCCCAAACUUUCUCCAGUUUUGUCCCACCGCUUCCUCCCGCAGCGCUCUGGGAACCCGGAAGGCGGGGGUGCAAGGGCGGCGGCUUCGAGCCCACCAGCUGCCCCCCAGACCGUCUCUUGCCUGCAAGGCACCAGGGCUGACUUAACGAAGAGGUGGGGGGACUUGCAGCCCGUCACUCCCCGCCCGCGGAGUUCAAGGCAUCAGCCAUAUCCCAUGGAACUACCCUACCUUUGGAAUUCUGAAACUGAUGGGGUCCGGUCCACAGCUCCACCCAAGCUCACUCUGGGUGAUGUUAUCUGCCUUGUUGUGAGGACACUGAUGCUACCAUAUGGAGAGACCCAUAUAACAGGAACUGAAACCUCCUGCCUGUGAGUAAGCUGUCUUGGAAAUGGAUUCUCCAGCCCCAGUCAAGCCUUGGAUGACUGCAGGCCCUAUGGACAUUCUGCCUGCAACCUUGUGAGGAACCCCAAGCUAGAGCCACCCAGAUAAGCCACUUCUGACCUACAGAAUGAUAAGAUAAUAAAUAUUAUUUUAAGCAA
Molecule: long non-coding RNA, 676 nt
Organism: Ailuropoda melanoleuca (giant panda)
Lineage: Eukaryota; Metazoa; Chordata; Mammalia; Carnivora; Ursidae
Exons: 3
Source: RefSeq, a predicted model, not a curated record